CUACGGGUUGCACCAGUCAAGAAUCUUUCGCAAUGGCCGAAAGGCUGACGGAGCAAUACCGCGUGAAGGAAGACACCCCUCGGGGCGUAAACUUCUUUUCUAAAGGAUGAAUUCGUGACGUUACUUUAGGAAUAAGCAACUGCUAACUUCGUGCCAGCAGCAGCGGUAAUACGAAGGUUGCAAGCGUUAUCCGGAAUUAUUGGGCGUAAAGCGUCUGUAGGUGGUUUAUCAAGUUUCAAAUUAAAACCCUAAGCUCAACUUAGAGUUAGUUUGAAAAACUGACAAACUAGAGAAUGGGAGAGGUAAGCGGAAUGGCUGGUGUAGUAGUAAUAUGCAUUGAUAUCAGCUAGAACACCAAAUGCAAAGGCAGCUUACUAGAACAUUUCUGACACUGAGAGACGAAAGCGUGGGUAGCGAAUGGGAUUAGAUACCCGAGUAGUC
This 441-nucleotide ribosomal RNA is filed under the name uncultured bacterium. Its description in RNAcentral is "partial 16S ribosomal RNA". It matches the Rfam family "Bacterial small subunit ribosomal RNA", at positions 339 to 795 of the family's 1533-position model. The record is from RNAcentral.